UACGGGGAGCAGCAGGCGCGAAAACUUCGCACCGUGCGAAAGCACGACGGGGGAAUCCCAAGUGCUGGCUCGUAAGAGUCAGCUGUUUCCCUGUCUAAAAAACAGAGAGAGUAAGGGCUGGGUAAGACGGGUGCCAGCAGCGCGGUAA
Molecule: ribosomal RNA, 148 nt
Filed under: uncultured archaeon
Lineage: Archaea
Description: partial 16S ribosomal RNA
Rfam family: Archaeal small subunit ribosomal RNA
Source: RNAcentral